This 30-nucleotide non-coding RNA is filed under the name Mus musculus (house mouse). Lineage: Eukaryota; Metazoa; Chordata; Mammalia; Rodentia; Muridae. The record is from RNAcentral.
UACAGGAAUUUGCUGAGAAUGAAGUGCCUU